This 253-nucleotide ribosomal RNA is filed under the name uncultured bacterium. RNAcentral describes it as "partial 16S ribosomal RNA". It matches the Rfam family "Bacterial small subunit ribosomal RNA", at positions 524 to 776 of the family's 1533-position model. The record is from RNAcentral.
UACGUAGGGUGCAAGCGUUGUCCGGAAUUAUUGGGCGUAAAGAGCUCGUAGGCGGUUUGUCGCGUCGGCUGUGAAAACCUGGGGCUCAACCCCGGGCCUGCAUUCGAUACGGGCAGACUAGAGUUCGGUAGGGGAGUCUGGAAUUCCAGGUGUAGCGGUGAAAUGCGUAGAUAUCUGGAGGAACACCGGUGGCGAAGGCGGCAUCCUGGACCAAUAUUGACGCUGAGGAGCGAAAGCCAGGGGAGCAAACGGG